RNAcentral lists this ribosomal RNA (607 nucleotides) under uncultured fungus. RNAcentral's name for it is "eukaryotic LSU rRNA". The stretch from base 210 to 363 matches the Rfam family "5.8S ribosomal RNA". Lineage: Eukaryota; Fungi. The record is from RNAcentral.
CAUUAAUGAAUCUUCUAAAGUCGGCUUGUCAUCUGUGCUGGUGGCGCCACAAUGUGCACGUUGACAGUCGCAAAUCUCACACACCUUGUGCACCUAUGACUCUGAGUACCGCUUUGCAUGGGCCCCCUUAAAGGGCCCUGGUACUCGAGUACUUUACAACACACUCUGAAUGUAAUGGAAUGUCUAUUUGUACAAUGUACAACUAAAACAACUUUCAACAACGGAUCUCUUGGCUCUCGCAUCGAUGAAGAACGCAGCGAAAUGCGAUAAGUAAUGUGAAUUGCAGAAUUCAGUGAAUCAUCGAGUCUUUGAACGCACCUUGCACCCCUUGGUAUCCCAAAGGGUACACCCGUUUGAGUGUCAUUGUAAUCUCACCUCUUUGGCUUUUUGUCAAUCAGUGUGGACUUGGAUGCUGUCGUGUAACAAACGACUCGUCUGAAAUGCCUGAGUGUACCCUGCUUUGCAGCGUAUUCGGUGUGAUAAACAUCUUCACCGGAGUUGACUUUCGGGUCGCGCUUGUACUGAUUGGCUCUAUGCUUCUAACCGCCCUGACAAGGCAAUCUUUGACAAUUUGACCUCAAAUCGGGUGGGACUACCCGCUGAACUU